This 1335-nucleotide ribosomal RNA is filed under the name metagenome. Its description in RNAcentral is "bacterial SSU rRNA". It matches the Rfam family "Bacterial small subunit ribosomal RNA", at positions 168 to 1498 of the family's 1533-position model. The record is from RNAcentral.
ACCGCAUAUUCUGUGAGCAGGAAAGCAGGGGACCGCAAGGCCUUGCGCUCUUUGAGCGGCCGAUGUCAGAUUAGCUAGUUGGUGAGGUAAAGGCUUACCAAGGCGACGAUCUGUAGCGGGUCUGAGAGGAUGAUCCGCCACACUGGAACUGAGACACGGUCCAGACUCCUACGGGAGGCAGCAGUGGGGAAUUUUGGACAAUGGGGGCAACCCUGAUCCAGCCAUGCCGCGUGAGUGAAGAAGGCCUUCGGGUUGUAAAGCUCUUUCGGCCGGGAAGAAAUCGCAUGGGCCAAUACCCUGUGUGGAUGACGGUACCGGAAUAAGAAACACCGGCUAACUACGUGCCAGCAGCCGCGGUAAUACGUAGGGUGCGAGCGUUAAUCGGAAUUACUGGGCGUAAAGCGUGCGCAGGCGGUUUUGUAAGACAGGCGUGAAAUCCCCGGCUUAACCUGGGAACUGCGUUUGUGACUGCAAGGCUAGAGUACGGCAGAGGGGGGUGGAAUUCCACGUGUAGCAGUGAAAUGCGUAGAGAUGUGGAGGAACACCAAUGGCGAAGGCAGCCCCCUGGGUCGAUACUGACGCUCAUGCACGAAAGCGUGGGUAGCAAACAGGAUUAGAUACCCUGGUAGUCCACGCCCUAAACUAUGUCAACUAGGUGUUGGGUGGGUAAAACCAUUUAGUACCGUAGCUAACGCGUGAAGUUGACCGCCUGGGGAGUACGGCCGCAAGGUUAAAACUCAAAGGAAUUGACGGGGACCCGCACAAGCGGUGGAUGAUGUGGAUUAAUUCGAUGCAACGCGAAAAACCUUACCUACCCUUGACAUGCCAGGAACUUGCCAGAGAUGGCUUGGUGCCCGAAAGGGAGCCUGGACACAGGUGCUGCAUGGCUGUCGUCAGCUCGUGUCGUGAGAUGUUGGGUUAAGUCCCGCAACGAGCGCAACCCUUGACGUUAAUUGCCAUCAUUUAGUUGGGCACUUUAACGAGACUGCCGGUGACAAACCGGAGGAAGGUGGGGAUGACGUCAAGUCCUCAUGGCCCUUAUGGGUAGGGCUUCACACGUCAUACAAUGGUCGGUACAAAGGGUUGCCAAGCCGCGAGGCGGAGCCAAUCCCAGAAAGCCGAUCGUAGUCCGGAUUGCAGGCUGCAACUCGCCUGCAUGAAGUCGGAAUCGCUAGUAAUCGUGGAUCAGCAUGUCACGGUGAAUACGUUCCCGGGUCUUGUACACACCGCCCGUCACACCAUGGGAGCGGGUUCCGCCAGAAGUAGGUAGCCUAACCGCAAGGGGGGCGCUUACCACGGCGGGGUUCGUGACUGGGGUGAAGUCGUAACAAGGUA